Molecule: transfer RNA, 73 nt
Filed under: Stegodyphus mimosarum
Lineage: Eukaryota; Metazoa; Arthropoda; Arachnida; Araneae; Eresidae
Rfam family: tRNA
About the family: Transfer RNA (tRNA) molecules are approximately 80 nucleotides in length.
Source: Rfam by way of RNAcentral
GCCUUCGUGGUGUAGUGGUCAACAUGCUGGGUGCGUAUUCCAGAGGUCCGUGGUUCGAUUCUCUGUGAGGGCA